RNAcentral lists this ribosomal RNA (119 nucleotides) under Pteropus alecto (black flying fox). Lineage: Eukaryota; Metazoa; Chordata; Mammalia; Chiroptera; Pteropodidae. The record is from RNAcentral.
GUCUACGGCCACGCCACCCUGAACGUGCCCGAUCCCGUCUGAUCUUGGAAGCUAAGCAGGGCCGGUCCUGGUUAGUACUUGGAUGGGAGUCCAUCUAGGAAGACCAGGUGCUGUAGGCA